GCUGAUCGUUCUAAAAUCUCGACUGAGAGUUGGAAAGGCUGCUUUUGACCAUUAUGGCCCAAAUCUUUGGAACACUCUUCCUGGGGAAGUUUGAGCCAUUUCAUGUUUGAGCACUUAAAAAAAAAAGAGCUUCAAAACUGUUUUAUUUAAAUGAGCUAAUUUGUAGGCUUAUUUUUUAUUUUUAGGUCACCUGUCUCUGAUCCUUACUAAACAAUUUUAAUUUGUAACUUUGCUAAUUUAUGUCUGUAUUUUUAUAAUGACUGCAAAUGUUUUAUUGAUUGUAUUAAUUAAUGACCUGAAUGUUUACCUUUUUAUGCUUAUAUGUGGGCUGUAAAGCAUUUUGGGCUCCACAUUUGUAUGAAAAAGUGAACAAUUCUUUUCUGUUUCUAAAUGUUUUAUAGCCUGAAGUAUCAGUUCCUGAGAGUCUAUGCCAACAAAAGAAUAGAAGAUCUCCACAAACUUCUCCUGGGAACAUUGCUACAGAGGCUGACUAUUGCUACUACUACACACAACUAUAAUAUCAGUGUUGCUCCCAGGACCUGUGACUGCACAAAUCCCUCUGGAGUGAUGUUGGACAAACUCUGCCAUUUGCAAAAUUCAAAGUUGAAGAACAGGAAACAAGUGCAGACUGCAACAAAUGAUCAACUGAAAAACAUCCUGUGCAGCAACACCGUGCUAAACUUACCUGUAAGAUGGUAAUGCUUAGAGUCAGGUAUUCAUUCUGAUGCUUUGUAAGUGCAAUAACAUUAAUGGAAUUAGGAAAGAAAAGAACCACACAUUACUUAGAACAGCUUUAUUAUUUAAAUAAAGUACAUAAGACAUUAUUUUACA
Molecule: long non-coding RNA, 831 nt
Filed under: Astyanax mexicanus (Mexican tetra)
Lineage: Eukaryota; Metazoa; Chordata; Actinopteri; Characiformes; Acestrorhamphidae
Description: lncRNA (ENSAMXG00005001708.1)
Source: RNAcentral